UGACCUCCCACUGACUCAGAGUCACUUGUGUAGUUGAACCAGUUGUUUUCACCUUCAGUCACACGAUGCUGAACAAACUCUCUGUUCUGGUGACAGUGCUCUCGUUGCCCUGUCUGAAUGGUCAGGCUCUAGAAUCCAUUCCUUCCACUGCAGUAGUGAAGAAGCCUGGAGAGACCCUCAGUCUGUCCUGCAGAGGAUCUGGGUUCACAUUUAGUGACUAUGGGAUGCACUGGGUCAGACAACCUGCAGGAAAAGGACUGGAAUGGAUGGGGGUUAUUUGGAGCGAUGCAAGUAAAACAGUUUAUGCCAGCAACGUUCAAGGAUGCAUAGAAAUCACCAGAGACAACAGCAACAGCAUGACUUACCUGAAACUGUCCAACCUGAGGCCAGAGGACUCUGCUGUGUAUUACUGUGCCAAAUACUCACAGUUGUUAAAGUGAACUGAGAGGAUGAACAAAAACCCAACAUUACGUACACACAACAGCCUCUAGGGGGCAGUAUGAGACAACACAUACUAAAUACAACAUACAACACAAUACUAAACACGGUGAUACAAUGAUCACCAGCUGAUGAUGUGGAUGGAUUCCUUUACAAUCAAAUAACAAUAAAAUAAAUGAAAAAUGAUAUUAAUUCAGUAAAGGUCUAAAUAAUAUUGGACAAUAAAUUAACUCAUUAAAGAUUAUCUUAGACAAUAUAAUAAAAAAAUAAGAUACUUUAUGCUUUCAG
Molecule: non-coding RNA, 726 nt
Organism: Betta splendens (Siamese fighting fish)
Lineage: Eukaryota; Metazoa; Chordata; Actinopteri; Anabantiformes; Osphronemidae
Source: the annotation of a RefSeq genome assembly